GGGGAUGUAGCUCAGAUGAUAGAGCGCUCACUUAGAAUGCAAUAGGUAUAGGGAUUGAAACCUUGCAUCUCCA
This 73-nucleotide transfer RNA is filed under the name Zingiber officinale. It matches the Rfam family "tRNA". From Rfam's summary of the family: Transfer RNA (tRNA) molecules are approximately 80 nucleotides in length. Their secondary structure includes four short double-helical elements and three loops (D, anti-codon, and T loops). The record is from Rfam by way of RNAcentral. Lineage: Eukaryota; Viridiplantae; Streptophyta; Magnoliopsida; Zingiberales; Zingiberaceae.